This 634-nucleotide ribosomal RNA is filed under the name Staphylococcus aureus. RNAcentral describes it as "partial 23S ribosomal RNA". It matches the Rfam family "Bacterial large subunit ribosomal RNA", at positions 1603 to 2238 of the family's 2925-position model. Lineage: Bacteria; Bacillati; Bacillota; Bacilli; Caryophanales; Staphylococcaceae. RNAcentral also lists the same sequence under 79 other names. The record is from RNAcentral.
CACUGCCGAGAAAAGCCUCUAGAUAGAAAAUAGGUGCCCGUACCGCAAACCGACACAGGUAGUCAAGAUGAGAAUUCUAAGGUGAGCGAGCGAACUCUCGUUAAGGAACUCGGCAAAAUGACCCCGUAACUUCGGGAGAAGGGGUGCUCUUUAGGGUUAACGCCCAGAAGAGCCGCAGUGAAUAGGCCCAAGCGACUGUUUAUCAAAAACACAGGUCUCUGCUAAACCGUAAGGUGAUGUAUAGGGGCUGACGCCUGCCCGGUGCUGGAAGGUUAAGAGGAGUGGUUAGCUUCUGCGAAGCUACGAAUCGAAGCCCCAGUAAACGGCGGCCGUAACUAUAACGGUCCUAAGGUAGCGAAAUUCCUUGUCGGGUAAGUUCCGACCCGCACGAAAGGCGUAACGAUUUGGGCACUGUCUCAACGAGAGACUCGGUGAAAUCAUAGUACCUGUGAAGAUGCAGGUUACCCGCGACAGGACGGAAAGACCCCGUGGAGCUUUACUGUAGCCUGAUAUUGAAAUUCGGCACAGCUUGUACAGGAUAGGUAGGAGCCUUUGAAACGUGAGCGCUAGCUUACGUGGAGGCGCUGGUGGGAUACUACCCUAGCUGUGUUGGCUUUCUAACCCGCACCACUUA